UUGCUUUAAAUUUAACCUCUGCUUCCCUAUAUUAGAUCUGUCGGCAUGUCCGACUAUGGCGAUAAACGCUUUUCGGAAUAGGCGUAGCGGACCCGGGGGCAGUACCCGGCGCCUCCACCAAACCUGCCGGUCCCUAGUGAGAGACAGGCUUUAUGGGGGCGAAACAGGCUCGACGCGCGUAGUAAAGGGAUAGUUUUCGCCCGGCAUGGUACCGCCGUUACCGGACCAAACCUAAAGAUGCCAACGAUAACCGUAUGGCUCCUGCUACUCUCGCUGCGUAAGCAGUGUGAAUUAGCGCGGUUCGGGGGGCACCGGGCAACAGAAGCCCCCCACU
RNAcentral lists this transfer-messenger RNA (334 nucleotides) under Alphaproteobacteria bacterium. It matches the Rfam family "Alphaproteobacteria transfer-messenger RNA". Rfam says of the family: Bacterial tmRNA, also known as 10Sa RNA or SsrA, is named for its dual tRNA and mRNA-like properties. Its role is to liberate the mRNA from a stalled ribosome. The record is from RNAcentral. Lineage: Bacteria; Pseudomonadati; Pseudomonadota; Alphaproteobacteria.